RNAcentral lists this ribosomal RNA (2046 nucleotides) under Triticum aestivum (bread wheat). RNAcentral describes it as "partial small subunit ribosomal RNA". The record is from RNAcentral. Lineage: Eukaryota; Viridiplantae; Streptophyta; Magnoliopsida; Poales; Poaceae.
AUGCUCGGUUUCCCAUCCAUGGAGCUGCAGCUCACUCCCCUCCGAAGCCUCCCACUCCACUACCGGACCACCACCAAAGCCACUGCCACAGCAACGGCCAACACCGUCUCCGCAUGCUCGGUGGAAUCCCAAGCGCUCAAGCCACGGCCGCAGCUCCCACGGCAGGCGCCCUUCCACAGCCGCAGGCGCAGCAGCCCCGUCCACUUCCCUUCCCUCUGCGCCGCCAUCGAGCGGCUGGUCGCCGAGGGGCGUCACCGGGAGGCUUGCGACGCGCUCCGGGACGCUCGCGCGGGCGCCCCCUUCGUGGUUCUGCCAGCGUCCACCUAUGACGCGCUGGUCACGGCCGCCUCCGCGUUGCGGGAGGCCGGUUCCGCGGCAGGGGUACUCUGGCACAUGGAGAGCUCCGGGUUCCAGCCCGACCAGUACAUGUGGAACCGGGUGCUGGGCAUGUACUUGGUGUGCGGGAUGCUCGCGGAGGCGCGGGAGGUGUUCGAUGGAAUGCCGACCAGGAGCCGGGUCACCUGGGGGGUGAUGAUGGGCGGGCUGGUUGAUGCGAAGCGUCCCCGUGGGGCGCUGGCGCUUUUCAGGGAGCUGUGGGAGGAGCUGGGUGUGGGUGCUGGGCCGAGGGUUGUCGUGGUGGCCGUCCGCGCGGCCACGGUGUUGGGGUCGGUGCAUGCUGGACGGGAGCUGCAUUGUUGCGUUGCCAAGAUGGGGAUGUGCGAGGACCAAUACCUGCCAUGUGCACUCAUCGACAUGUACAGUAAGUGCGGGCGGAUUGACGAAGCGAGGCGGGUGUUUGAUGGGAUACCAUGGAGGAGUGUCGUGGCGUGGAACACGAUGCUGGCAGUGUAUUCGCUCCAUGGGCGCAGUGAGGAGGCAUUGGACUUGUACCACCAUAUGUGCGAGAGUGGUGCCGGCUUGGAUCAAUUCACAUUCUCGACGAUGCUCAGGAUUUUCUCCAGGUUGGGUCUGCUGGAGCAUGCAAAGCAAAUCCAUGCGGGCCUGAUUCAAAGUGGACUACAAAUGGACAUUGUCGGGAAUACGGCACUUGUUGAUCUGUAUUGCAAGUGGGGUCAGAUGGAAGAUGCAAGGCAUGUUUUUGAGAGGAUGCCUAGCAGGAACCUGAUAUCUUGGAAUGCUCUAAUAGCAGGGUACGGCUACCAUGGCAUGGGGAGUAAGGCUAUUGAGAUGUUUGAAAGACUGCUGGCUGAAGGCAUUGCUCCAAACCAUGUGACAUUUCUAGGAGUACUAAAUGCUUGUAGAUUUUCUGGCUUUAUUGACAAAGGGAAGAGGAUUUUCCAAUUGAUGACCCAAAAUCCAAAAACGAAACCACGUGCAAUGCACUAUGCCUGUGUUAUCGAACUUUUUGGGCGGCAGGGGCUACUAGAUGAAGCCUAUUCAGUGAUAAGGAAAUCACCAGUCACCCCAACUGCCAACAUGUGGGGAGCCUUGCUCACUGCUGGUAGGAUGAACAAAAAUAUUCAGCUUGCUAGACUAGCUGCAGAGCAACUCUUGGCAAUGGAACCUCAGAAAGUAAACAAUUACAUUGUGCUUCUCAACUUGUAUAUGAACUCUGGGAAACGGGAUGAAGCUUUGACUGUAGUAAGCACCUUGAAGAGGGCGGGUUUAUCUAUGAGUGCUGCUUGUAGCUGGAUCACAGUCAAGAAAAAGGAUCACAGGUUUUUCUUUAAUGAUAGUCUCAAUCCCAAAAGUUCAGAAAUCUACCAAAGGCUAGAUACACUAAUGGAGGUGAUAAAAGAACUUGGUUAUGUUAUUGAGGAGGAUGAAUUGCUCCCUGAUAUUCUCCCUGAUGAGCAGAAGACAUUGAAAAUGUUCCAUAGUGAAAAACUCGCAGUUGCUUUUGGCCUUAUUAGCACAUCUCCAUCUGCUCCCUUGACGAUCAACCAAAGCCAUCGGCUGUGCCAUGACUGCCACAAUGUAAUCAAAUUUGUAACACAAGUUACGAAGAGAGAGAUUACCGUAAGAGAUGCUAGCAGGUUUCAUCAUUUCAAACUUGGAACAUGCUCUUGUGGUGACUACUGGUAG